Molecule: non-coding RNA, 4914 nt
Organism: Podarcis lilfordi (Lilford's wall lizard)
Lineage: Eukaryota; Metazoa; Chordata; Lepidosauria; Squamata; Lacertidae
Source: the annotation of a GenBank genome assembly
UAAGACUGUGUUGUAAGUCUUUCUAACCUGUCAGUCACACAAGAAAAAAAACGUUGUGUUUUCUCAAAGGAGUUUUUAGGGAAACAGUUGAUUGCAGACUUGCUGAUCCUCCUAUUGCCUCUGUUUUUGAGAUGGGAAACGUUGUUCCAGUAAGUGAUGGGAGUCCUGUGGGGGCUCUGCAGAGCAGAAGAGGCACCGAUGCAGAAAACGCACUGGUGUCACCGAGCAGGAGAACAUGGCACAACUCAUGAAUCACAGGCCAGAAUGCCGUUCCUCUUAUUGAGAUAAAUGGGGCAGCAAGCCCUUGGGAUUGCAGGACGUCACUUUCACUUAGGAACUUGGCGCCAAAGCUGGAGUCCAAUGGACAGGAACCCAUCACCCCUUGACCUAGGCAGAAGGGAGAUUUGGAGACUGAAAGCAGCCGCUGAGGGUCACUGGCCACGUUGAGAAACUUCUGCAGGACAAAUGUAGAUGUGAGCGGAUCAUUCUUAUAAAGGUAAAGGGACCCCUGACCAUUAGGUCCAGUCGUGACCAACUCUGGGGUUGCGGCGCUCAUCUCGCUUUACUGGCCGAGGGAGCCAGCGUACAGCUUCUGGGUCAUGUGGCCAGCAUGACUAAGCCCCUUCUGGCAAACCAGAACAGUGCAUGGAAACGCCCUUUACCUUCCUGCCGUGGUACCUAUUUAUCUACUUGCACUUGGACAUGCUUUCGAACUGCUAGGUUGGCAGGAGCAGGGACCAAAGAACAGGAGCUCACCCUGUCACGGUGAUUGGAACCACCAACCUUCUGAUCGGCAAGCCCUAAGCUCAGUGGUUUAACCCACAGCGCCACCCGUGUCCCCAUCAUUCUCAUAGGCUGCCACUAAUUCACUCACUUAAUUGUACUUCGAAUACGCACUCCACUGAGGCCACUUGCCGCAGACCCAGGAACCUGAUCUAGUUACAUCACAGGUGGGGGGACCUUUUACAACCCAGGGCCCACAUUCCUUUCUGGGCAACCCCUCGAAGGGCCACACACCAGUGGUGGGUGGGACCAGAGGCAAAAGGGGCAGAGCAACGAAUGCAAAUUCUACGCUUGUACCACUGGCUAGUUUCUGCACACACAACAUUUAACAUUUCCCACAGUGCCCCAGAGUAAUGGAAAGUGUGGUGCUGUGCAGCAUUGUGGGAAGUUUAGAACCAAGGUUUCCCAUCCAUCUGGCAGUGCUGCCAUAUGGUGAGCAAUGUGUUUGUUGGGGGGCACCAAACAGCACUUUGCUUGAGGUAAAUUUAUUGGUAGAACUUGAGUAAUUUGGUCUUCCAGAUCAAUCCAUGGGCAUGGCACAUUUCGCUGAGACUCGGUGUUCUCUGGCUGUAAAAUAGGACUUUAUGCUUAGGAAGGCAGCAACAACAACAGUUUUUCAACUUUCUUAAUAGCCAUUUGGGUCAGCUAUGAACCCCAAAGCAUAGGAGGAUUAAGCAAACUUGCAUACAAAAAGGUAGUUUUAGGGCACUGCAACCAAUUCCUCUGCACUGGGCACCAAGCAGAGAGGGCAUCCAGUAAGCACUUGCUACAGGAAGAAGGUGUGAGGGUUCUGACAAGAAGGUGUGGGGUUGUGGCGCUCAUCUCGCUUUAUUGGCCGAGGGAGCCGGUGUACAGCUUCCGGGUCAUGUGGCUAGCAUGACCAAGCCCCUUCCUGCCGGAGAGGUACCUAUUUAUCUACUUGCACUUUGACAUGCUUUUGAACUGCUAGGUUGGCAGGAGCAGAGACCGAGCAACGGGAGCUCACCCCGUCGCGGGGAUUUGAACCGCCGACCUUCUGAUUGGCAAGUCCUAGGCUCUGUGGUUUAACCCACAGCGCCACCCGCGUCCCUAUAGUACUAUUACCUAUCUUUUAAAAAACCACUGCGAGGUUUGUUUCGAAAGGUGUACAAUUUUUAUGAAAUAAAUAAUAAUAAAUAAUAUUAUAUGCUAUGUACUUAGGAAGCAGCCUAGAAGUGUAAAUUAAUUCACAAUUCAGCACAAAAUCAAAAAUUCAAAGUGAGCAUUGUGUUUAGAAUCUUGUUAAGUUUCAAGGUGUUAAAUUAUUUUGUUUUCCGCCCCCCUUCCUGAAAUGUGUAAAUCCAACAGUAUUUUGGGGAGGUAGGGUGGGGAUCAAAUUAGGAGAAUGUGAAUAUUAAGUUUAGCAAGCAAAUUUGAUGUAGAAGAAGUUGCUGGGGGAUUUUUACCCCUCCCUGAGUGCAUUUCAGCUCAAGUUUCUGUUUACUUUUUUGGGCCACGCUCAGCUCACGUCUCUUUGGAGGUGAUAGGAGAAGAUUCCUUGAACAUUUCAGCUGAUGGCAGACUCUAAUGAGGAUAUAUGGCCAGCCACCAAGAACAUGUAUAUUUAAUGAUCUCUGUUAAGGAAGUUUUAGAAGUGCUUUCCCCAUAGACUCAAUGAUGGCUUCUUUGUUUAUGUGCAUAAUCCACUUUUCCUGACACCACAAGUAACAAAUUCUCAGUUCCCCAGUGCCACUGUUGGACAAUCCUGGUGAUGUGCUGAUUGAUUGACUUACUGAUUGAUUGUGCAUUGGGCUAUUGCCUACGGGGCAUUUUGCAACUCACUCAUGCCAAAAGAGAAAAUGAAUGGAAAACAAGAGAAAUUGCGGAAGAAUUUGGAGCAAACAGGAGGAAGGAAAGGUGUGGAUGUGAGAGUAUGUGUGGCCCUCCUUAUGUUGUUGGACUCCCACCUCAUAGGGCUCUUUCUGAGCAAGCUGACUGGGUUCGCUAGGUUUGCUCUCUGGGACUUCCACAGGAAAAAUGGAGAUGAAAUCUAUCCACUGCAGCCUAUGGACUCCCAGAGAGAGUAAGAUGAAGCAACAUUGCCUUCUUGUUCUCCCUCUGGAAAGUUGUUUCCAGAAAGAAUGGCUGGGGGCUUUUGGUUGGACAGUAGUGAUAGGAGUUGGGCCCAAUCAGACAGACCCAAUGAGGGCAACUUGCCUCAGAGUCCACCAAAACCAGGAGCUGGUCCUGGAGUCUGUGAGACCUUGAUCCCUGGAGAGAUAUUCAGGAUUCUUUCUCUGAAUUUGCCACUUGUCAUUAAAAACAAACCUGUGGGUGCCAUCCAGUGCUGGUCCUACUCACAGAAAGCCUGUUAAGUUAAUACAUAUGGAUAGCUUUGGUUUUCUUAAUUUCAAAGGGUCUACAUAGGACUCAGUUGGCCACAACCCCAAUAAGUCUCACAUCUUUUUACAAUUGUUUGCGUUGUAGCCAGUUACUCAAGAAAAGGGUCAAACUGUGCUGACCUCCUCAGGGCUUGGAGAAUGAGUACAAAGGCAUUGGAAUAACUGAUGAGAACAAGCAACUUUAAAAAAACCCAACAACAGCAUGCUAUUUUAUUAAUAUUGAAAUCAACAUACUGUGCAACUUGUAUUUCAGAUCUGACUAGAUUGCAUGACUCUAUCUAUACCUCUCUCACCCUUUUAGGUAUAGAUGAAUCCAGUGAUUUUUAAAAAGGAAAAGGGAAAGAAAGGUGCCAGUGUUCACUCUGAAGUUGUUAUACUAAGUGCCACACUUUUAAUCUUUGGGAAAAUGGUGCAAGGACUGUGGACCCUUGCAUACCUCCAUAAAAAACAAAAUACAGUGGAACCUUGGGUUGCAAACGUGAUCCGUGCGGGAGGCACGUUCGCAACCAGCAGUGUUCGCAACCUGCAGCGCUGUGUCUGCGCACACGUGGAUCGCGAUUUGGCACUUCUGCGCAUGCGCAAAGCGUGAUUUAGUAUUUCUGUGCAUGCGCGAGCGCUGAAACCCAGAAGUAACCCGUUUUGGUACUUCCAGGUUCAGUGCGGUGUGCAACCCGAAAAUGCAUAAUCUGAAGCAUCUGUAACCCGAGGUACCACUGUAGAUAAAUCUGUUAUUGAUGGUAUCUCUUAGUUUCUCAUUUUCCAAAUUUUAAGUUCAGCUCAUAUCUCUAUCAACAUUUUUUUAAAUUUAGAAAUGUACUCACAAAAGUUCAUAUUCAUUAAUUCAUUUGCUGUUAAUGCUAAAUUUAAAUCCUGUCCUGCCUUCUAAAGGGGCCCAGAGUGGGAAACACAUCAGUGUGAUAAAACAUUACAAUUUUUUAAAAAAAUUAUUAAAUAAGCACGAGAGAUAAUUUAAAAUAAUUCCAGCACAAAUGUGGGCUGGGAAAAAGGUCUUUACUUGAAGGGCUUGUUGAAAGAGUGAGGUCUUUAGAAGGUGUAGAAAGGACAAUAGAGACUGCCCCUGUCUAAUAUUUAAUGUGAGGGAAUUUCAAAUGGAACAAUUUCCUGAGCAUUUUUCCAAAAACAACUUUCAUACAUAAUUUUGGUGAGCAACUUUGCAUAAGAAAAUACAUGGUGUAUAUAUGAUUUUUUUUUAAUGCGUAUUUCCCCCUAACAGACAUUUUUUUGCUUGGAGAACCGCACUGCAAAAUUCAUAAAAGUGUCACUUUCAAAGGAUAGUUGUAUUUUGGCUCAUGUAUAGUUUGGGGGAAGUAUGAAUUAGGUAAUUUUAAAUUAAAAUGAGAAAUGUAACUGGUAAACUUGUCCCAGGUUGCUAAGGGCUUUCUGUGCUAAUGCCAACACCUUGAACCUGGCCAGUACAAAUCUCGGAGCACAAGUGUUAUAUGCUGACAACGCCUCAGUCUUGUCAGCAGUUAUUCUGCAGCUUUCUGCACUAACUGCAGCUUCUGGAUCAAAUGCAAGGGAAUCCUCACAUAGUGUGCAUUGCAAUAAUCCAGCUAUUGCCUUACCAUGGGGUAAGGCAGUUUCUUAUGUUCCUUAGAAUUACAAAAUUGUGGAGUUGGAAGGGACCACGAGGGUCAUCUACGCCAACCCCCUGCAAUGCUGAAAUCGUUCACCUAAUGUGGAGAUCGAACCCACAACCCUGAGGUUAAGAGUCUUAUGCUUUACCAACUGAGCCAGCUCAGCCUAAAUG